AAAUGACAAAGUGAUGACGUUAAUUUAUGAAUAAGCCCCGGCUAAUUACGUGCCAGCAGCCGCGGUAAUACGUAAGGGGCGAGCGUUGUUCGGGAUUAUUGGGCGUAAAGGGUGAGUAGGCGGAUAUAUAAGUCUAUGCAUAAAAUACCACAGCUCAACUGUGGACCUAUGUUGGAAACUAUAUGUCUAGAGUCUGAUAGAGGAAGUUAGAAUUUCUGGUGUAAGGGUGGAAUCUGUUGAUAUCAGAAAGAAUACCGGAGGCGAAGGCGAACUUCUGGGUCAAGACUGACGCUGAGUCACGAAAGCGUAGGGAGCAAACAGGAUUAGAUACCCUGGUAGUCUA
RNAcentral lists this ribosomal RNA (343 nucleotides) under uncultured Borrelia sp. RNAcentral describes it as "bacterial SSU rRNA". It matches the Rfam family "Bacterial small subunit ribosomal RNA", at positions 456 to 797 of the family's 1533-position model. The record is from RNAcentral. Lineage: Bacteria; Pseudomonadati; Spirochaetota; Spirochaetia; Spirochaetales; Borreliaceae.